ACCCGCACAAGCGGUGGAUGAUGUGGUUUAAUUCGAUGCAACGCGAAAACCUUACCUACCCUUGACAUGUCAAGAAUUUUGCAGAGAUGUGAAAGUGCUCGAAAGAGAACUUGAACACAGGUGCUGCAUGGCCGUCGUCAGCUCGUGUCGUGAGAUGUUGGGUUAAGUCCCGCAACGAGCGCAACCCUUGUCAUUAGUUGCUACCGCAAGGAGCACUCUAAUGAGACUGCCGGUGACAAACCGGAGGAAGGUGGGAUGACGUCAAGUCCUCAUGGCCCUUAUGACCAGGGCUACACACGUGCUACAAUGGCCGGUACAAAGAGUUGCGAUACCGCGAGGUGGAGCUAAUCUCAUAAAGCCGGUCUCAGUUCGGAUUGGAGUCUGCAACUCGACUCCAUGAAGUUGGAAUCGCUAGUAAUCGCGGAUCAGCAUGCCGCGGUGAAUACGUUCCCGGGCCUU
RNAcentral lists this ribosomal RNA (459 nucleotides) under uncultured Propionivibrio sp. Its description in RNAcentral is "bacterial SSU rRNA". It matches the Rfam family "Bacterial small subunit ribosomal RNA", at positions 919 to 1382 of the family's 1533-position model. Lineage: Bacteria; Pseudomonadati; Pseudomonadota; Betaproteobacteria; Rhodocyclales; Rhodocyclaceae. The record is from RNAcentral.